GAUGAACGCUGGCGGCGUGCCUAAUACAUGCCAGUCGAGCGAACAGACGAGGAGCUUGCUCCUCUGACGUUAGCGGCGGACGGGUGAGUAACACGUGGAUAACCUACCUAUAAGACUGGGAUAACUUCGGGAAACCGGAGCUAAUACCGGAUAAUAUAUUGAACCGCAUGGUUCAAUAGUGAAAGACGGUUUUGCUGUCACUUAUAGAUGGAUCCGCGCCGCAUUAGCUAGUUGGUAAGGUAACGGCUUACCAGGGCAACGAUGCGUAGCCGACCUGAGAGGGUGAUCGGCCACACUGGAACUGAGACACGGUCCAGACUCCUACGGGAGGCAGCAGUAGGGAAUCUUCCGCAAUGGGCGAAAGCCUGACGGAGCAACGCCGCGUGAGUGAUGAAGGUCUUCGGAUCGUAAAACUCUGUUAUUAGGGAAGAACAAAUGUGUAAGUAACUAUGCACGUCUUGACGGUACCUAAUCAGAAAGCCACGGCUAACUACGUG
This 497-nucleotide ribosomal RNA is filed under the name uncultured bacterium. RNAcentral's name for it is "partial 16S ribosomal RNA". It matches the Rfam family "Bacterial small subunit ribosomal RNA", at positions 28 to 507 of the family's 1533-position model. The record is from RNAcentral.